GGCACGUAGUUAGCCGGGACUUCUUCUGCAGGUACCGUCAGUUUCCCUUCGUCCCUGCCGAAAGGGGUUUACAACCCGAAGGCCUUCAUCCCCCACGCGGCGUCGCUGCGUCACGCUUUCGCGCAUUAGCGCAAGAUCCCCCACUGCUGCCUCCCGUAGGAGUCUGGGCCGUGUCUCAGUCCCAGUGUGGCUGGCCGUCCUCUCAGACCAGCUACCCGUCGUCGCCUUGGUGGGCCGUUACCCCACCAACAAGCUGAUAGGCCGCGGGCCCAUCCCGGACCGUCGGAGCUUUCCCGGCGCGACCAUGCGAUCGCGCCGGAGUAUCCGGUAUUAGCUCAGGUUUCCCUGGGUUAUCCCGGUGUCCGGGGCAGGUUGCCCACGUGUUACUCACCCGUUCGCCGCUCUCCCCUCGGAAGGGUUACCCCUCCUGAGGUUCCCGCUCGACUUGCAUGUGUUAGGCACGCCGCCAGCGUUCGUC
Molecule: ribosomal RNA, 478 nt
Filed under: uncultured bacterium
Lineage: Bacteria
Description: partial 16S rRNA
Source: RNAcentral